AAUUUCCACAUAGAACACAAUGUUUAUUAAAGGACACAUCCCUGACUGCCUGUACGCUGCACAGAAGCCUCACUUCCUGUCCUUGGUCAGCUGCCACCAUCUUUACAGAGGAAAGAGCAUGUGCAAAGGCCCUGAGGUGGGAGUAUGGAGACCAAGGAAGGCAAGUGCCUGGGAUACAGUGAGAAAGGGGAAAGGAAGAGCUCAGGAGGAGGAGGGCAUCCGGUAAGGAUUCUGGCUUUCACUCUAGGUGAUAUGCAGGUCUAGCUAACUCCAAUUUUCACAGUCUGAUGAAUAAUUGUCCAACAAUUAAUAAUUGUCCAAUAAUGAUAAUAUGAUUGGCAUGCUCCUGGGUGCAUCUGAGUAGCUGGACAGCCAGAGGACUCGCCCCUGGGAGAUAAAGGUAUCACUGAUAUAUGGGAUAUCAUUUGCCAGAUGAGACAGUGAGAAAAUGCCUCUUCCAAGAUCCAGGCUCUCUGAAGAGCUAUCUUAUCUGUGAAAAUCCUCAGCACUACAAGGUGACCUCCAAGCAAGGAUUUUUAGAGAGAGG
RNAcentral lists this long non-coding RNA (547 nucleotides) under Homo sapiens (human). RNAcentral's name for it is "HSALNT0098590". Lineage: Eukaryota; Metazoa; Chordata; Mammalia; Primates; Hominidae. The record is from RNAcentral.